Molecule: non-coding RNA, 137 nt
Filed under: Microcebus murinus (gray mouse lemur)
Lineage: Eukaryota; Metazoa; Chordata; Mammalia; Primates; Cheirogaleidae
Description: Small Cajal body specific RNA 21 (ENSMICG00000026181.3)
Rfam family: Small Cajal body specific RNA 21 (bases 30-137)
About the family: scaRNAs are a specific class of small nuclear RNAs which localise to the Cajal bodies and guide the modification of RNA polymerase II transcribed spliceosomal RNAs U1, U2, U4, U5 and U12. ACA68 (SCARNA21) is a member of the H/ACA class of snoRNAs that guide the sites of modification of uridines to pseudouridines.
Source: RNAcentral
UGGGUGUUAUGGGCAGAAAGAAUCAUCUAUGCCUCUACUUCCCCGUAGCCGAGCCUAGGGUGGAGAGGCCAGGUAUCCUCUCCUGGGAGAGGUGUUUGAGAAAGGAGCCUUGCCUGGGUUGUCCUAGUCUCACAUUU